GUGGGGAAUAUUGGACAAUGGGCGAAAGCCUGAUCCAGCCAUGCCGCGUGAGUGAUGAAGGCCUUAGGGUUGUAAAGCUCUUUCAGUAGGGAAGAUAAUGACGGUACCUACAGAAGAAGCCCCGGCUAACUUCGUGCCAGCAGCCGCGGUAAUACGAAGGGGGCUUGCGUUGUUCGGAUUUACUGGGCGUAAAGCGCACGUAGGCGGAUUGGUCAGUUAGAGGUGAAAUCCUGGAGCUCAACUCCAGAACUGCCUUUAAUACUGCCAGUCUAGAGUCCAGAAGAGGUGAGUGGAACUCCUAGUGUAGAGGUGGAAUUCGUAGAUAUUAGGAAGAACACCAGUGGCGAAGGCGGCUCACUGUCUGGUACUGACGCUGAGGUGCGAAAGCGUGGGGAGCAAACAGGAUUAGAAACCCCAGUAGUCC
Molecule: ribosomal RNA, 424 nt
Filed under: uncultured bacterium
Lineage: Bacteria
Description: partial 16S ribosomal RNA
Rfam family: Bacterial small subunit ribosomal RNA
Source: RNAcentral